Molecule: ribosomal RNA, 451 nt
Filed under: uncultured bacterium
Lineage: Bacteria
Description: partial 16S ribosomal RNA
Rfam family: Bacterial small subunit ribosomal RNA
Source: RNAcentral
AACGAACGCUGGCGGCAGGCUUAACACAUGCAAGUCGAACGGUUGUAGCAAUACAGCAGUGGCGCACGGGUGAGUAACGCGUGGGAAUAUACCGAGAAGUGGGGAAUAACUCCGGGAAACUGGAGAUAAUACCGCAUACGCCCGAGAGGGGAAAGAUUUAUCGCUUUUCGAUUAGCCCGCGUGAGAUUAGGUAGUUGGUGGGGUAAUGGCCUACCAAGCCGACGAUCUCUAGCUGGUCUGAGAGGAUGAUCAGCCACACUGGAACUGAGACACGGUCCAGACUCCUACGGGAGGCAGCAGUGGGGAAUAUUGCACAAUGGGCGAAAGCCUGAUCCAGCCAUGCCGCGUGAAUGAUGAAGGCCUUAGGGUUGUAAAGUUCUUUCGCCGAUGAAGAUAAUGACGGUAGUCGGAGAAGAAGCCCCGGCUAACUUCGUGCCAGCAGCCGCAGUAA